AUUGAACGCUGGCGGCAUGCUUUACACAUGCAAGUCGAACGGUAACAGGCCGCAAGGUGCUGACGAGUGGCGAACGGGUGAGUAAUGCAUCGGAACGUGCCCAGUCGUGGGGGAUAACGCAGCGAAAGCUGUGCUAAUACCGCAUACGAUCUAUGGAUGAAAGCGGGGGACCGUAAGGCCUCGCGCGAUUGGAGCGGCCGAUGUCAGAUUAGGUAGUUGGUGGGGUAAAGGCUCACCAAGCCAACGAUCUGUAGCUGGUCUGAGAGGACGACCAGCCACACUGGGACUGAGACACGGCCCAGACUCCUACGGGAGGCAGCAGUGGGGAAUUUUGGACAAUGGGCGCAAGCCUGAUCCAGCAAUGCCGCGUGCAGGAAGAAGGCCUUCGGGUUGUAAACUGCUUUUGUACGGAACGAAACGGCGAGCUCUAAUACAGUUUGCUAAUGACGGUACCGUAAGAAUAAGCACCGGCUAACUACGUGCCAGCCGCCGCGGUAA
RNAcentral lists this ribosomal RNA (498 nucleotides) under uncultured bacterium. RNAcentral describes it as "partial 16S ribosomal RNA". It matches the Rfam family "Bacterial small subunit ribosomal RNA", at positions 30 to 523 of the family's 1533-position model. The record is from RNAcentral.